UUCUGGUCCAAAACAUCUACAAAGUAUUUUCAUCAAACUCAUGCAAACAUGAAAGGUUAAAGAAGAAGCAAACGAAAAUUAGAAUAAUGAAAGGUUAAAGUAAUUAAAUUUUGAUUAAUAUAAAUUGUUAAAACAAUUAAUGACGCACCUGAUCAAGCUGCGGCAACACUUAUUCUGUCAUUGCAAUCUCUUCCUCAUUCACAUACAAUCUCGAUUCCCUCAAAAACUUUUCCAACACCACAAAACUCAAAAAUCAGAUACAAAAGCAGUAUCAAAUUGAAAUUU
RNAcentral lists this long non-coding RNA (285 nucleotides) under Nicotiana benthamiana. RNAcentral's name for it is "long non-coding RNA (NBEN_LNC014693)". The record is from RNAcentral. Lineage: Eukaryota; Viridiplantae; Streptophyta; Magnoliopsida; Solanales; Solanaceae.